This 253-nucleotide ribosomal RNA is filed under the name uncultured bacterium. RNAcentral's name for it is "partial 16S ribosomal RNA". It matches the Rfam family "Bacterial small subunit ribosomal RNA", at positions 524 to 776 of the family's 1533-position model. The record is from RNAcentral.
UACGAAGGGGGCUAGCGUUGUUCGGAUUUACUGGGCGUAAAGCGCACGUAGGCGGAUCUUUAAGUCGGGGGUGAAAUCCUGGAGCUCAACUCCAGAACUGCCUUCGAUACUGGCGAUCUUGAGUCCGGAAGAGGUGAGUGGAACUGCUAGUGUAGAGGUGGAAUUCGUAGAUAUUAGGAAGAACACCAGUGGCGAAGGCGGCUCACUGGUCCGGUACUGACGCUGAGGUGCGAAAGCGUGGGGAGCAAACAGG